Molecule: ribosomal RNA, 657 nt
Filed under: Arthrobacter sp. TN155B
Lineage: Bacteria; Bacillati; Actinomycetota; Actinomycetes; Micrococcales; Micrococcaceae
Description: bacterial SSU rRNA
Rfam family: Bacterial small subunit ribosomal RNA
Source: RNAcentral
AGAGUUUGACCUGGCUCAGGAUGAACGCUGGCGGCGUGCUUAACACAUGCAAGUCGAACGAUGAUGCCAGCUUGCUGGUGGAUUAGUGGCGAACGGGUGAGUAACACGUGAGUAACCUGCCCUUGACUCUGGGAUAAGCCUGGGAAACUGGGUCUAAUACCGGAUAUGACCUUCCAUCGCAUGGUGGUUGGUGGAAAGCUUUUGUGGUUUUGGAUGGACUCGCGGCCUAUCAGCUUGUUGGUGGGGUAAUGGCCUACCAAGGCGACGACGGGUAGCCGGCCUGAGAGGGUGACCGGCCACACUGGGACUGAGACACGGCCCAGACUCCUACGGGAGGCAGCAGUGGGGAAUAUUGCACAAUGGGCGCAAGCCUGAUGCAGCGACGCCGCGUGAGGGAUGACGGCCUUCGGGUUGUAAACCUCUUUCAGUAGGGAAGAAGCGUAAGUGACGGUACCUGCAGAAGAAGCGCCGGCUAACUACGUGCCAGCAGCCGCGGUAAUACGUAGGGCGCAAGCGUUAUCCGGAAUUAUUGGGCGUAAAGAGCUCGUAGGCGGUUUGUCGCGUCUGCCGUGAAAGUCCGGGGCUCAACUCCGGAUCUGCGGUGGGUACGGGCAGACUAGAGUGAUGUAGGGGAGACUGGAAUUCCUGGUGUAGCGG